Molecule: ribosomal RNA, 301 nt
Filed under: uncultured bacterium
Lineage: Bacteria
Description: partial 16S ribosomal RNA
Rfam family: Bacterial small subunit ribosomal RNA
Source: RNAcentral
CAGUCGCCGCGGGAAUACGUAGGUGGCAAGCGUUGUCCGGAAUUAUUGGGCGUAAAGGGCUCGCAGGCGGUUUCUUAAGUCUGAUGUGAAAGCCCCCGGCUCAACCGGGGAGGGUCAUUGGAAACUGGGAAACUCGAGUGCAGAAGAGGAGAGUGGAAUUCCACGUGUAGCGGUGAAAUGCGUAGAGAUGUGGAGGAACACCAGUGGCGAAGGCGACUCUCUGGUCUGUAACUGACGCUGAGGAGCGAAAGCGUGGGGAGCGAACAGGAUUAGAUACCCCCGUAGUCCCUGUCUCUUAUAC